Molecule: ribosomal RNA, 609 nt
Filed under: Staphylococcus simulans
Lineage: Bacteria; Bacillati; Bacillota; Bacilli; Caryophanales; Staphylococcaceae
Description: bacterial SSU rRNA
Rfam family: Bacterial small subunit ribosomal RNA
Source: RNAcentral
AUUAUGGAGAGUUUGAUCCUGGCUCAGGAUGAACGCUGGCGGCGUGCCUAAUACAUGCAAGUCGAGCGAACAGACGAGGAGCUUGCUCCUCUGACGUUAGCGGCGGACGGGUGAGUAACACGUGGGUAACCUACCUAUAAGACUGGGAUAACUCCGGGAAACCGGGGCUAAUACCGGAUAACACAUGAAACCGCAUGGUUUCAUGAUGAAAGACGGUUUUGCUGUCACUUAUAGAUGGACCCGCGGCGUAUUAGCUAGUUGGUAAGGUAACGGCUUACCAAGGCAACGAUACGUAGCCGACCUGAGAGGGUGAUCGGCCACACUGGAACUGAGACACGGUCCAGACUCCUACGGGAGGCAGCAGUAGGGAAUCUUCCGCAAUGGGCGAAAGCCUGACGGAGCAACGCCGCGUGAGUGAUGAAGGUCUUCGGAUCGUAAAACUCUGUUAUUAGGGAAGAACAAGGAUGUAAGUAACUAUGCAUCCCUUGACGGUACCUAAUCAGAAAGCCACGGCUAACUACGUGCCAGCAGCCGCGGUAAUACGUAGGUGGCAAGCGUUAUCCGGAAUUAUUGGGCGUAAAGCGCGCGUAGGCGGUUUUUUAAGUCUGA